Macaca mulatta (Rhesus monkey) is the source of this 1328-nucleotide non-coding RNA. The record is from RefSeq and is a predicted model, not a curated record. NCBI's taxonomy places the organism in Eukaryota, Metazoa, Chordata, Mammalia, Primates, Cercopithecidae.
GCAAAAUAUCAAGACUCCGUCUCUAAAAAUAGGUAUAUUUUGCUUUGUAUGUAAAAAAAAAAAUCACUGUUCAUUUAUCACAAAACUUAAAAACACAUUAUAUUCCUAAAUUUAAUCCAAGAUCUUUCUGUAGAUGGUGGAAAAGAACUGUAGAACAGAAAAACUAGAAAACCUAGAAUUUAGUAGCAUAGUCUUAACAUGGAAGUGAUAUAUAGUGUCAUGAUUUGCUAACCCAUUCUGCUGCUGUAUGGUGUUCCUGCUGUGCUGGUUGAUUGUGGAGGAACUCGGGCAUGCAUACAUGAAUAUUGCAUGCAUUAAAUAUUUUAAUUAUUGAACUCUUGAUAUGUGUGAAUUACUUUGCAAAUAACUAGUAAUGUAAAAAUAAAUUAUAAAGAGAAAUCUGACUUUUGCUCUGUGAUAUAGAGAACUGGAGAGAAUGUUACUGUUAUCAUUAUAAUAAGAGAAUAGGAUUGAAUUAACUUCAAAUGUAUGACUUUUUUCCAAUCCAAGAGAGAUAGUAUUUCAGAACAACCAACUGACCCAAAAUCUGUGAAGAUACAGGCACCUGUAGAAAGAGAAGAAAUGUGAGCAGUCAAAUAUCUGGAUAAAUGCAAUCAGAUGUCAAUAUAAAUAGUUUACCAAAAAUAGUUAAUUCGUAGGUGAAAGCUAUGUGCAGACUGGUGGAGAGGUUAAAGCCUGUAAACACUUCAGAAGUGUAAAGAGUCUGAACUCUCCUGCAUGUUCCUUCCCAAUGAAUCUCAUGGGGUAGUCAUAGAAUAGUUAGAAAGGUCCCUUAAAAAGUCUCUAUUGUGUUUCAGACCCGAGAGAGACGAAGACUGGCCAUGCUAAAGAGAUUUUGCUGAUAAAACUUUUGGACUAACGAGGCUUCAAGAUGGCUGACUAGAAGUAUCUGGCUUUUCCGUCCUCCACAAAGAAGAAUCAAAAUAGGAUUCACAAUGCAAACAUCCUGUCCUUGAAGAAGUCCAGAGGAAACACAGAUGUGAAAGCCCACAACAUGAAAGGAACGAGGACAUACAUCCUUGGAAUCAUGAGGUGCUGUGAAAAAAAAGCCUAUGACCCUGAAGCCACUAUGUUGGAGAGACUUCAGGGAAAGGCCCAUUUGGAGAGGAGAGGCCAUCAGUCAACAGCAGGCAUCAACUACCUGACAUAGGAGGGCAGUCUUUAGAUAAUUGCACUUUGUCAUCUUUGAGUCUUCCAUCUGAGACCGCAGACAUUAUAAGGCAUAGACAAGCCACCUCUAUUGUACCCUGUUGGACUCCUUAAUCCAUAAAACCUAAAAGCAAAAUAAAUGGUUGCUUUAUAUUGUA